GUAAUGUAGAAAUUCUAUAUCAAUUGCAAUUUCUCUCUACUGCAGUGCCUAACCCAUUCCCUAACCUUACGGUGGCUGCUCACCCCUUUCGCCAACCCACAGAGUGCAGAGGAGAGGAACUACAAUGUGCGCCAUUGCCAGGCAUUUGACCUCAACGCAGCUGCCGUGCACCAGUGUGUGGAUGUGAAUUUGUAGCUUGUAAGAACACAAGGACUGCAUCUGUGAGGACACGGCCGCUGGAGUGUUGUGACGCAUGAGGUGCAGUGGAGACUCCGGGGCUGGGCGCACUCAACUCCUGCUCAGCUGCAGAAACUAAA
Oncorhynchus kisutch (coho salmon) is the source of this 317-nucleotide long non-coding RNA. RefSeq lists it as uncharacterized. The record is from RefSeq and is a predicted model, not a curated record. The transcript has 3 exons. NCBI's taxonomy places the organism in Eukaryota, Metazoa, Chordata, Actinopteri, Salmoniformes, Salmonidae.